RNAcentral lists this ribosomal RNA (1041 nucleotides) under Neopestalotiopsis elaeidis. RNAcentral describes it as "SSU rRNA". It matches the Rfam family "Eukaryotic small subunit ribosomal RNA", at positions 68 to 1121 of the family's 1831-position model. The record is from RNAcentral. Lineage: Eukaryota; Fungi; Ascomycota; Sordariomycetes; Amphisphaeriales; Sporocadaceae.
AGCAAUUAUACAGCGAAACUGCGAAUGGCUCAUUAAAUCAGUUAUCGUUUAUUUGAUAGUACCUUACUACUUGGAUAACCGUGGUAAUUCUAGAGCUAAUACAUGCUAAAAACCCCGACUCACGAAGGGGUGUAUUUAUUAGAUUAAAAACCAAUGCCCUUCGGGGCUCUUUGGUGAUUCAUAAUAACUUUUCGAAUCGCAUGGCCUUGCGCCGGCGAUGGUUCAUUCAAAUUUCUGCCCUAUCAACUUUCGAUGGCAGGGUCUUGGCCUGCCAUGGUUACAACGGGUAACGGAGGGUUAGGGCUCGACCCCGGAGAAGGAGCCUGAGAAACGGCUACUACAUCCAAGGAAGGCAGCAGGCGCGCAAAUUACCCAAUCCCGAUUCGGGGAGGUAGUGACAAUAAAUACUGAUACAGGGCUCUUUUGGGUCUUGUAAUUGGAAUGAGUACAAUUUAAAUCCCUUAACGAGGAACAAUUGGAGGGCAAGUCUGGUGCCAGCAGCCGCGGUAAUUCCAGCUCCAAUAGCGUAUAUUAAAGUUGUUGCAGUUAAAAAGCUCGUAGUUGAACCUUGGGCCUGGCUGGCCGGUCCGCCUCACCGCGUGCACUGGUUCGGCCGGGCCUUUCCCUCUGGGGAACCUCAUGGUCUUCACUGAUCGUGAUGGGGAACCAGGACUUUUACUGUGAAAAAAUUAGAGUGUUCAAAGCAGGCCUAUGCUCGAAUACAUUAGCAUGGAAUAAUAAAAUAGGACGUGUGGUUCUAUUUUGUUGGUUUCUAGGACCGCCGUAAUGAUUAAUAGGGACAGUCGGGGGCAUCAGUAUUCAAUUGUCAGAGGUGAAAUUCUUGGAUUUAUUGAAGACUAACUACUGCGAAAGCAUUUGCCAAGGAUGUUUUCAUUAAUCAGGAACGAAAGUUAGGGGAUCGAAGACGAUCAGAUACCGUCGUAGUCUUAACCAUAAACUAUGCCGACUAGGGAUCGGACGGUGUUACUUAUUGACCCGUUCGGCACCUUACGAGAAAUCAAAGUCUUUGGGUCUGGGGGG